UGAAAACCAGAACACUCAUUUUCGGGUUUUGAUCCUUUGGGAGCUGAUUUGUUUGGGAGCCAAGGCGUUUGAGAUCCAAGGUACAACUAAAUAAAAACACUGGGUCUCUAAAUCUGGAUGGUGGACUUGAAAUAAUUUCCUUGGUUCUGUGGUUUAUUUAAAAGGUGGUCCCACACCUGGGUAACAAACAGAAGUGGUGCAGAGGUGAAUUCUUAGCACACAAGCAAUAGAAUCACAACACCUCUCUUAAGAUCUCCAGAGCACAGUUUAUCAGAUCAAUGCUCAGCAGAUUACAGACCACCCAGAAUGCUAGAAUGUGGCCCGUCACAAGUUAUAGGGAAACAGCCUUUUUAUAGAGUUGAAUAGCUGUUUGAGAUCUCACUGACCUAAAUUAUCCAAACCUUUCAGAUUCUGAAAUACUAGCUGAAGCUGAGAAGUUAGCAGGUGAAUUGCUUAUAUGGGCUGACAGAGCAAAUGAAGUCGAGUCUGCAAUCAAUGACCUCACUUCAAAUCAUCCUCAAAAGUGGCAGAUAUAUAAAGAGGCUCUCUAUUUAUUUGAUGAAGGACUAGUAGACUGGAGUCAGGCAGACAGCUUUUGUGAGAGUCAAAAAUCCAAACUGGUUAUUAUUGAAAAUGAAAAAGAGGAGCAGGAGUUCCUGGAAAAUGCAAUUAAAGACGAACAGCAUGACUUCUGGAUUGGGCUCCGUCAUUUCGUUGGAUGGAAAUGGAUAGAUAACACUUUCCCACCACGAUAUUACUGGGCAGUCGGUAAGCCAGACAACCACCUUUAUAAACCAGUCGGUGCAAUAAAAGCAAAGUGUGCAACACCACUGCGAUGUUGGGAGAACUUUCCCCGUCUUGAUCAAAAAAGAAGCAUAUGUAAGAAGAAGCCUGAUAAACGAUGGUUCAAUUAAAACUCUUCAUGGGCAAUGAAUCGACCCACCUUUAAUAGAAGCCAUGGUCAAUGAUCCAAAUUAUGGAAUUAAGGGCAUGGAAGAGAUCAGGUCUUUGACACCAGCACUCAAAAGCCUUUUGUCAAUCCUGCAUCCUCAGGUGACCUGAUUUUGCAACCUCAGAUAAUGGAAACUCCUGGAAAAUAAAGCAAGGAGGACUCAGUCGUAGCCCACGUCCUGUUGCAAUAAUUAAUCCAAUACAUCCUUUCCCAACUCAGUGCCUUCUAGGUGCCAUCAGCCCUAACCAACAGGUUGCAUUGGAGGGCACCAAGUGGAGGAAGAUUGAUUUAGUAUACCUGCUAGAGGGGAACAUUUUACCAGAUUGGGGGGGGAGGGGAACAUAACACUCUUCUUAGGGAUGACUCCCCCUAUUGGCAACAGGAAGGGUCUUCGUGGCCUCUCUAGGGGAGGAGUCGCCCCACUUCCCCCAGACCAACUCUGCCUGCAGUCAGAGCAGUGGUGUCUCUCUCCUCUUUAUUUCUGAGAGAAUUGGUCUUCCUGUGAGUGUGACAGUUUCCAUUGUCUUGUUCUAUAUUACGACUUCCAGACGUCUGUUGGCUUAUAACCUGCCAGGCAUGGGCCCGCUAUCAGUUAGUAAUUCACCACACUUCGACCAGUGGGGUCAACAGUGAAUCCACAGCUCCAGCAGUCUUCCAGCUGAACUUCAGAGUUUUCCUGCUUUCCAGUAGUCAUCUUUUUCCAGAGUUCCUGGUUAAGAAAAACCUCUGUCCCACUCAGUUCAGUUCUAAGUUUAAGUAUAAAGUGUUUAUUGUCUCACAAGACAAAGAUAAAUGUACUAACUACUGUAAUACAGUUCUUCUGGUCUUAGAAGUAAAGAAACAAAUAUACAGAGAUAUCCACCAGCUCUUUACCAUGCUAGCUCACACUACGCUGUGUAAAACCCACCAAACACAGUUGCUCACAGACUCUCGCCUUGUUGCCCCCAGAUUACAGAAUGCAAUGCAGACUUGACUUCUAUACCAGUUUCUGCUCAUAUGCACAUUCCUGAGAAAAAGUGAGGUUGGAUAAAUCAGCAAGCCUGACUUUCAGUGUUGUACUGUUGCUAGGCAACCCUGUGCACCUGGCAUCCUAUCUCUAAACAAGAUAUUGAGAUCCAAACAAGCAAUUUCACUCCUUUUUCCAAUUACACCUUGUUUGCUUAACUUCUUUGAACGUCUGGAUUAGUCCCAUAGUGUUCUCCUGUCCUUAAGAGUUGUUUUGGUCCAUCUCCUGUGUCUUCUCCUCUUCCCU
Long non-coding RNA from Podarcis muralis (Common wall lizard), 2204 nucleotides. RefSeq lists it as uncharacterized. The record is from RefSeq and is a predicted model, not a curated record. NCBI's taxonomy places the organism in Eukaryota, Metazoa, Chordata, Lepidosauria, Squamata, Lacertidae.